This 373-nucleotide ribosomal RNA is filed under the name uncultured organism. Its description in RNAcentral is "bacterial SSU rRNA". It matches the Rfam family "Bacterial small subunit ribosomal RNA", at positions 526 to 896 of the family's 1533-position model. The record is from RNAcentral.
CGUAGGGUCCGAGCGUUGUCCGGAAUUAUUGGGCGUAAAGAGCUUGUAGGCGGUUUGUCACGUCGGAAGUGAAAACUCAGGGCUUAACCCUGAGCCUGCUUCCGAUACGGGCAAACUAGAGGAAUGCAGGGGAGAAUGGAAUUCCUGGUGGAGCGGUGGAAUGCGCAGAUAUCAGGAGGAACACCGGUGGCGAAGGCGGUUCUCUGGGCAUUUCCUGACGCUGAGAAGCGAAAGCGUGGGGAGCAAACAGGCUUAGAUACCCUGGUAGUCCACGCCGUAAACGGUGGGCACUAGGUGUGGGGAACAUUCCACGUUCUCCGUGCCGAAGCUAACGCAUUAAGUGCCCCGCCUGGGGAGUACGGCCGCAAGGCUA